UGGAACUGCCUCGGGUCCUGUUGCCGGCCGGUGCUUUUCCGCGGACCCGGGUUCUGGGUCCCGAAGGGGCCCGCUGGCUGGGGUCGGGGCGGAUUACACACCUCUUGCGGCGUAUUUCAGCUUCACUUGAUUAACUUCCUACGUUCGGGGAAAACUGGGGUUUGUUGGCUUCCAUAAAGUUUCAGUUUGACUAUAUGACAUUUAGCAUAAAUGGCUCCAUUCUGGUUUGUCUGUGUGUUGAGGGCCAGCUCAGACGAGGGACACCUACACAUAUAUUCCCACAGCACUCCAUAUCUGAGACUGUGAACUACGAUGGCAAGACAUUUGGAUCUUCUCUCCCUGCCAAAGUCAUGGAAGCCCUAACAUUGGCUGAAGCUCCCUGCUAAUGCGCCUGGGAAAGCAGUGGAAGAUGGCCCAAAUCUGGAACCCUGCACCCACGUAGGAGACCAGAAGAAGCUCUUGGCUCCUGGCUUUGGUCAUAGCGACCAUUUGGGGAGUGAACCAGCAGAUGGA
Molecule: long non-coding RNA, 513 nt
Organism: Lepus europaeus (European hare)
Lineage: Eukaryota; Metazoa; Chordata; Mammalia; Lagomorpha; Leporidae
Exons: 3
Source: RefSeq, a predicted model, not a curated record